GAUGAAGAACGUAGCGAAAUACGAUAAGUAAUGUGAAUUGCAGAAUUCAGUGAAUCAUCGAAUCUUUGAACGCACAUUGCGCCCCCUGGUAUUCCGGGGGGCAUGCCUGUUCGAGCGUCAUUACAACCCUCAAGCUCUGCUUGGUGUUGGGCCCCGCCGCCCCGGCGGGCCCUAAAAUCAGUGGCGGUGCCGUCCGGCUCCGAGCGUAGUAAUUCUUCUCGCUCUGGAGGUCCGGGUGUGUGCUCGCCAGCAACCCCCAAUUUUUUUCAGGUUGACCUCGGAUCAGGUAGGGAUACCCGCUGAACUUAAGCAUAUCAAUAAGCGGAGGA
This 329-nucleotide unclassified non-coding RNA is filed under the name soil metagenome. RNAcentral's name for it is "partial contains 5.8S ribosomal RNA, internal transcribed spacer 2, and large subunit ribosomal RNA". The stretch from base 1 to 120 matches the Rfam family "5.8S ribosomal RNA", at positions 35 to 154 of the family's 154-position model. The record is from RNAcentral.